RNAcentral lists this non-coding RNA (197 nucleotides) under Acidobacteriota bacterium. RNAcentral's name for it is "Acidobacteria bacterium (sediment metagenome) 6S RNA". It matches the Rfam family "6S / SsrS RNA". From Rfam's summary of the family: E. coli 6S RNA was the first non coding RNA to be sequenced, but its function was unknown until recently. It consists of 184 nucleotides that fold into an extended hairpin structure with a large single-stranded internal bulge. Lineage: Bacteria; Pseudomonadati; Acidobacteriota. The record is from RNAcentral.
AGUGGCCUGCGACGCAGGUGCCGGAGCGAUGAUUUGUUGAACCAACACUGAGCCAACGGGUGCCUGGUCGUCCUGCCCUUGUGCACGUCCCGUGAUCCGCCGCAGGCGGAAUUCGGGAAAGCCUUAAAGCAGGCGCUGGUUGCCCACCUUUUACAGGUGGUUCAGAAUCUAGCUCCACACGGCGAAGCGGACCGCUC